UGCCAGCAGCCGCGGUAAUACGGAGGAUCCAGGCGUUAUCCGGAUUCAUUGGGUUUAAAGAGUGCGUAGGCGGACUAAUAAGUCAGUGGUGAAAUCCUGCAGCUUAACUGUAGAACUGCCAUUGAUACUGUUAGCCUUGAGUAUAGUUGAGGUAGGCGGAAUGUGUCAUGUAGCGGUGAAAUGCUUAGAUAUGACACAGAACACCGAUUGCGAAGGCAGCUUACUAAACUAUUACUGACGCUGAUGCACGAAAGCGUGGGGAGCGAACAGGAUUAGAUA
Molecule: ribosomal RNA, 279 nt
Filed under: uncultured bacterium
Lineage: Bacteria
Description: partial 16S ribosomal RNA
Rfam family: Bacterial small subunit ribosomal RNA
Source: RNAcentral